UGGGGAAUAUUGCACAAUGGGGGAAACCCUGAUGCAGCAACGCCGCGUGAGUGAAGAAGUAUUUCGGUAUGUAAAGCUCUAUCAGCAGGGAAGAAAAUGACAGUACCUGACUAAGAAGCCCCGGCUAACUACGUGCCAGCAGCCGCGGUAAUACGUAGGGGGCAAGCGUUAUCCGGAUUUACUGGGUGUAAAGGGAGCGUAGACGGUUAUGCAAGUCAGAAGUGAAAGCCCGGGGCUUAACCGCGGGACUGCUUUUGAAACUGUAGAACUAGAGUGCAGGAGAGGUAAGUGGAAUUCCUAGUGUAGCGGUGAAAUGCGUAGAUAUUAGGAGGAACACCGGUGGCGAAGGCGGCUUACUGGACUGUAACUGACGUUGAGGCUCGAAAGCGUGGGGAGCAAACAGG
Molecule: ribosomal RNA, 404 nt
Filed under: uncultured bacterium
Lineage: Bacteria
Description: bacterial SSU rRNA
Rfam family: Bacterial small subunit ribosomal RNA
Source: RNAcentral